AUUAGGAGGAAACAUCAUGAACGAAGUGAAUGAUUUAGGAUGUUUCCGACGAUCUGCCGCCGAACGAAUGUGAGGGGGCGAUACAUAUU
Non-coding RNA from Clostridium sp. CAG:127, 89 nucleotides. The record is from Rfam. NCBI's taxonomy places the organism in Bacteria, Bacillati, Bacillota, Clostridia, Eubacteriales, Clostridiaceae.